GAGAAAAGAACAACAGGGAUUGCCCUAGUAACGGCGAGUGAAGCGGCAACAGCUCAAAUUUGAAAUCUGGCUUCGGCCCGAGUUGUAAUUUGCAGAGGAAGCUUUAGGCGCGGCACCAACUGAGUCCCCUGGAACGGGGCGCCACAGAGGGUGAGAGCCCCGUAUAGUUGGACGCCUAGCCUGUGUAAAGCUCCUUCGACGAGUCGAGUAGUUUGGGAAUGCUGCUCAAAAUGGGAGGUAAAUUUCUUCUAAAGCUAAAUACCGGCCAGAGACCGAUAGCGCACAAGUAGAGUGAUCGAAAGAUGAAAAGCACUUUGAAAAGAGGGUUAAAUAGCACGUGAAAUUGUUGAAAGGGAAGCGCUUGUGACCAGACUUGCGCCCGGCUGAUCAUCCGGUGUUCUCACCGGUGCACUCUGCCGGGCUCAGGCCAGCAUCGGUUCUCGCGGGGGGAUAAAGGUCCUGGGAACGUAGCUCCUCCGGGAGUGUUAUAGCCCAGGGCGUCAUGCCCUCGCGGGGACCGAGGUUCGCGCAUCUGCAAGGAUGCUGGCGUAAUGGUCAUCAGCGACCCGUCUUGAAACACGGACCAAGGAGUCAAGGUUUUGCGCGAGUGUUUGGGUGUAAAACCCGCACGCGUAAUGAAAGUGAACGUAGGUGAGAGCUUCGGCGCAUCAUCGACCGAUCCUGAUGUUUUCGGAUGGAUUUGAGUAGGAGCGUUAAGCCUUGGACCCGAAAGAUGGUGAACUAUGCUUGGAUAGGGUGAAGCCAGAGGAAACUCUGGUGGAGGCUCGCAGCGGUUCUGACGUGCAAAUCGAUCGUCAAAUCUGAGCAUGGGGGCGAAAGACUAAUCGAACCAUCUAGUAGCUGGUUACCGCCGAAGUUUCCCUCAGGAUAGCAGUGUUGUUCUUCAGUUUUAUGAGGUAAAGCGAAUGAUUAGGGACUCGGGGGCGCUUUUUAGCCUUCAUCCAUUCUCAAACUUUAAAUAUGUAAGAAGCCCUUGUUACUUAAUUGAACGUGGGCAUUCGAAUGU
This 1027-nucleotide ribosomal RNA is filed under the name Chaetomium brevipilium. RNAcentral's name for it is "eukaryotic LSU rRNA". It matches the Rfam family "Eukaryotic large subunit ribosomal RNA", at positions 56 to 1116 of the family's 3401-position model. Lineage: Eukaryota; Fungi; Ascomycota; Sordariomycetes; Sordariales; Chaetomiaceae. The record is from RNAcentral.